UGCUGAUAAUGUUGUGCUGCUGUUCAUACUGGUUUGGACUUUCACAGCUGUCUGUCAAGCAUUUGAUGAUGAUGUCAUUGUAAGCUGUGAUGAUGUGACUGGAUCUGUGGGGAAAGAAGUAAAUCUCACCUGCAGCGUCUCUCUGCAGCGCA
Sinocyclocheilus rhinocerous is the source of this 152-nucleotide long non-coding RNA. RefSeq lists it as uncharacterized. The transcript is spliced from 3 exons. The record is from RefSeq and is a predicted model, not a curated record. Lineage: Eukaryota; Metazoa; Chordata; Actinopteri; Cypriniformes; Cyprinidae.